Molecule: ribosomal RNA, 460 nt
Filed under: uncultured bacterium
Lineage: Bacteria
Description: partial 16S ribosomal RNA
Rfam family: Bacterial small subunit ribosomal RNA
Source: RNAcentral
CCUACGGGCGACAGCAGUGAGGAAUAUUGGUCAAUGGACGAGAGUCUGAACCAGCCAAGUAGCGUGAAGGAUGACGGCCCUAUGGGUUGUAAACCUCUUUUAUAAAGGAAUAAAACGAGGUACGUGUGCCUGCUGGCAUGUACAUUAUGAAUAAGGAUCGGCUAACUCCGUGCCAGCAGCCGCGGUAAUACGGAGGAUCCGAGCGUUAUCCGGAUUUAUUGGGUGUAGAGGGAGCGCAGAUGGGUUGUUAAGUCAGUUGUGAAAGUUCGCGGCCCAACCGUAAAAUUGCAGUUGAUACUGGGAGUCUUGAGUACAGUUGAGGCAGGCGGAAUUCGUGGUGUAGCGGUGAAAUGCGUAGAUAGCAGGAAGAACCCCGGUUGCGAAGGCAGCCUGCUGAACUGUAACUGACGUUGAUGCUCGAAAGUGUGGGUAGCAAACAGGAUUAGAUACCCGUGUAGUC